RNAcentral lists this ribosomal RNA (465 nucleotides) under uncultured bacterium. Its description in RNAcentral is "partial 16S ribosomal RNA". It matches the Rfam family "Bacterial small subunit ribosomal RNA", at positions 338 to 795 of the family's 1533-position model. The record is from RNAcentral.
CCUACGGGAGGCAGCAGUGGGGAAUAUUGCGCAAUGGGCGAAAGCCUGACGCAGCGACGCCGCGUGAGGGAUGAAGGUCUUCGGAUCGUAAACCUCUGUCAGCAGGGAAGUACGGUCACUGUGCUAAUCAGCAGUGAAUUGACGGUACCUGCAAAGGAAGCACCGGCUCACUCCGUGCCAGCAGCCGCGGUAAUACGGAGGGUGCGAGCGUUAAUCGGAAUUACUGGGCGUAAAGCGCUCGUAGGCGGUAUGUCAAGUCAAGGGUGAAAGUCCCGCGCUCAACGUGGGAACUGCAUUUGAAACUGGCAACCUGGAGUGUGUGAGAGGAUAGUGGAAUUCGAGGUGUAGGAGUGAAAUCCGUAGAUAUCUGGAGGAACAUCAGUGGCGAAGGCGACUAUCUGGCACAUAACUGACGCUGAGGAGCGAAAGCGUGGGUAGCAAACAGGAUUAGAUACCCCAGUAGUC